UACAGAGGUGGCAAGCGUUGUUCGGAAUUACUGGGCGUAAAGGGCGCGUAGGCGGCCAUCUAAGUCAGACGUGAAAUCCCCCGGCUUAACCUGGGAACUGCGUCUGAUACUGGUUGGCUUGAAUCCGGGAGAGGGAUGCGGAAUUCCAGGUGUAGCGGUGAAAUGCGUAGAUAUCUGGAGGAAUACCGGUGGCGAAGGCGGCAUCCUGGACCGACAUUGACGCUGAUGAGCGAAAGCCAGGGGAGCAAACGGG
This 253-nucleotide ribosomal RNA is filed under the name uncultured bacterium. Its description in RNAcentral is "partial 16S ribosomal RNA". It matches the Rfam family "Bacterial small subunit ribosomal RNA", at positions 524 to 776 of the family's 1533-position model. The record is from RNAcentral.